GACGAACGCUGGCGGCGUGCUUAACACAUGCAAGUCGAACGGAAAGGCCCUGCUUUUGUGGGGUGCUCGAGUGGCGAACGGGUGAGUAACACGUGAGUAACCUGCCCUUGACUUUGGGAUAACUUCAGGAAACUGGGGCUAAUACCGGAUAGGAGCUCCUGCUGCAUGGUGGGGGUUGGAAAGUUUCGGCGGUUGGGGAUGGACUCGCGGCUUAUCAGCUUGUUGGUGGGGUAGUGGCUUACCAAGGCUUUGACGGGUAGCCGGCCUGAGAGGGUGACCGGCGACAAGGGGACUGAGAGACGGCGCAGACGCGGACGGGAGGCAGGGGGGGGGAGGGGGGCGCACUGGGCGGGAGCGGGAUGCAGCAGCGCGGCGUGCGGGAGGAAGGGCUACGGGGGGUAAACCGAUGUCGCCGGGGACGAGGAGGGAGUGACGGUAAGGGGUAAAGAAGCAACGGCGAACUACGUG
RNAcentral lists this ribosomal RNA (468 nucleotides) under uncultured bacterium. RNAcentral describes it as "partial 16S ribosomal RNA". It matches the Rfam family "Bacterial small subunit ribosomal RNA", at positions 28 to 507 of the family's 1533-position model. The record is from RNAcentral.